This 253-nucleotide ribosomal RNA is filed under the name uncultured bacterium. RNAcentral describes it as "partial 16S ribosomal RNA". It matches the Rfam family "Bacterial small subunit ribosomal RNA", at positions 524 to 776 of the family's 1533-position model. The record is from RNAcentral.
UACAGAGGUCUCGAGCGUUGUUCGGCUUCAUUGGGCGUAAAGGGUGCGUAGGCGGUGCACUAAGUUUGGUGUGAAAUCCUGGAGCUUAACUCCAGAAAUGCACUGAAUACUGGUGUGCUAGAGGACUGGAGAGGAGAUUGGAAUUCACGGUGUAGCAGUGAAAUGCGUAGAUAUCGUGAGGAAGACCAGUGGCGAAGGCGAAUCUCUGGACAGAUCCUGACGCUGAGGCACGAAGGCCAGGGGAGCAAACGGG